UGUGUCCUUGCUUUUGCUGUCUUCCGCUGCCAUGAACUGUUGCCUCCCUGCCAUCCCAGCCUCGGAGCCAGCCGAUUGUGGACUGAAACCUCUAUGAACUUUUCAUCAGGUGCUACUGACUCUUAGGACUCAGAAGGUUCCCCUCUCUCCUGUGUUUGAGCUGUUCCAGUUCUCAGCCUGAACUUCGCACCCCUCAUACAGUGGCCUGGGGAUUUCUGAAUCUGUCACACCAUGAGCAAGCAGAAGAGGAAGAGCAAUAUUUCUGGACUAUUCAUCAAGACAUCUCAUUCCACAAGCAGCAUCUGACUUUGUUAAGAAACAAAAAGGCAUUCAACCAGAAGCCAGAGGCAACAUGAUUUAUGGGGUUGGAAGAAUCAUUGUUUUAACCAUCUCAAAAUAGAAUCUUCUCUAUAAGAGCAAGGAUCAUGUUUCAUUUCUGAAUGCUACUGCCUAGCUCAGCAUCUGCUACACAGCAGGCACUCAAUAAAUGUAUCUUGGAUGAAAGGAG
Molecule: long non-coding RNA, 508 nt
Filed under: Heterocephalus glaber (naked mole-rat)
Lineage: Eukaryota; Metazoa; Chordata; Mammalia; Rodentia; Bathyergidae
Description: lncRNA (ENSHGLG00100045092.1)
Source: RNAcentral